Molecule: ribosomal RNA, 439 nt
Filed under: uncultured bacterium
Lineage: Bacteria
Description: partial 16S ribosomal RNA
Rfam family: Bacterial small subunit ribosomal RNA
Source: RNAcentral
CUACGGGGUGCACCAGUGAGGAAUAUUGCACAAUGGGGGGAACCCUGAUGCAGCAACGCCGCGUGGAGGAUGACGCAUUUCGGUGUGUAAACUCCUUUUAUAUGUCAAGAAAAUGACGGUAGCAUAUGAAUAAGCACCGGCUAACUCCGUGCCAGCAGCCGCGGUAAUACGGAGGGUGCAAGCGUUACUCGGAAUCACUGGGCGUAAAGGACGCGUAGGCGGGUUGGAAAGUCAGGUGUGAAAUCCUACAGCUUAACUGUAGAACUGCACUUGAAACUUCUAAUCUAGAGUAUGGGAGGGGGAGAUGGAAUGAGUGGUGUAGGGGUACAAUCCGUAGAUAUCACUAGGAAUACCUAAAGCGAAGGCGAUCUCCUGGAACAUUACUGACGCUAAGGCGUGAAAGCGUGGGGAGCAAACAGGAUUAGAUACCCCGGUAGUC